UGCCAAGGGAGCAAGGUGUCGGUCGGCGAGGCGAAGCUCUGCCACAGCACCGCGCCGCCCGAGUCUCUGAUGACGAGGUUUCCGGUCUCCAGCAGCGCGGCCGUCGACCUGUCGUCGCCCGCGCCCCCGCUGCUCGCCCACACCGCCGAGCCGUUGGCGUCGGCCAGGACGAGGUAG
Molecule: ribosomal RNA, 177 nt
Filed under: Triticum aestivum (bread wheat)
Lineage: Eukaryota; Viridiplantae; Streptophyta; Magnoliopsida; Poales; Poaceae
Description: partial small subunit ribosomal RNA
Source: RNAcentral